AGUGAACGCUGGCGGCGUGCCUAAUACAUGCAAGUCGAACGGAGUGGCGCACGGGUGAGUAAUAUAUAGCUAAUCUGCCACUUGCUGGAGGAAAACAGUUAGAAAUGACUGCUAAUACUCCAUAGAAAGGGAUGAGACUAUAUCGUAUCCGCUGUUCGGUGGGGUAAUGGCCUACCGAGGAUAUGACGCGUACCUGGUCUGAGAGGAUGAUCAGUCACAUUGGAACUUAGACACGGUUCAAACUCCGACGGGAGGCAGCAGUAGGGGAUAUUGCGCAAUGGGGGACACCCUGACGAAGCAACGCCGCGUGGAGGAUGACACUUUUCGGAGCGUAAACUCCUUUUGUUAGGGAAGCGGUACCUAACGAAUAAGCACCGGCUAACUCCGUGCCAGCAGCCGCGGUAAUUC
RNAcentral lists this ribosomal RNA (408 nucleotides) under uncultured bacterium. Its description in RNAcentral is "partial 16S ribosomal RNA". It matches the Rfam family "Bacterial small subunit ribosomal RNA", at positions 29 to 526 of the family's 1533-position model. The record is from RNAcentral.